Molecule: ribosomal RNA, 125 nt
Filed under: uncultured bacterium
Lineage: Bacteria
Description: partial 16S ribosomal RNA
Rfam family: Bacterial small subunit ribosomal RNA
Source: RNAcentral
CCUUGACGCUAUUGGAUGAGCCUAUGUCGGAUUAGCUAGUUGGUAGGGUAAAAGCCUACCAAGGCAACGAUCCGUAGCUGGUCUGAGAGGAUGAUCAGCCACACUGGGACUGAGACACGGCCCAG